GUGCGGGAGCAGGACCGGCUGAUGCCAAUCGCGAACGUGAUCCGCAUCAUGCGCCGCGCGCUCCCUGCCCACGCCAAGAUCUCCGACGACGCCAAGGAGGCAAUUCAGGAAUGCGUGUCGGAGUUCAUCAGCUUCGUCACCGGCGAGGCCAACGAACGGUGCCGCAUGCAGCACCGCAAGACCGUCAACGCCGAAGACAUCGUGUGGGCCCUAAACCGCCUCGGCUUCGACGACUACGUCGUCCCCCUCAGCAUCUUCUUGCACCGCAUGCGCGACCCCGAGGCGGGGACAGGUGGUGCCGCUGCAGGCGACAGCCGCGCCGUGACGAGUGCGCCUCCCCGCGCGGCCCCGCCCGUGAUCCACGCCGUGCCGCUCCAGGCUCAGCGCCCGAUGUACGCGCCUCCGGUGUUAGUACUAAUCUUGUGCAUGUAG
Molecule: ribosomal RNA, 432 nt
Filed under: Triticum aestivum (bread wheat)
Lineage: Eukaryota; Viridiplantae; Streptophyta; Magnoliopsida; Poales; Poaceae
Description: partial small subunit ribosomal RNA
Source: RNAcentral